CAGCAGGAUAGACACUGAGAGCUAGGGCUGCCUGUGGGAAGUGAGGAGCCCUGGCAAGGACAUGAGGAAACCUUCUGAGGUAGUGGGAAUGUGCGACAUCUUGUUUGUGGUGAUGGAUACAAAAGUUGACACAUUCAUCAAAGCUCGCCACAUCAUUCACUUGAUAUCUGCAUAUUUCACUCAAAAGACCAUGGACUGAUAUGCCCAGGCCCCUGCUGCUCCAGCAAGCAACUGCAAACAGCUCUAGAAAUGCUGUAACCCUGCUGUCCUGACUGGCCCCCAGUGAAUGAGCAGGAUGAGUUGGUGAUGGCUCCAAACUUUGCCAUUGAGUGUUCAGAUCUGCACUUUAGGGAGUUUGAAUAGACACAACAGCAUCUGUUGGCAGCAUCUCAAAGCACCUAUAAGACAGUUGGGGAAGAACAUCUGGAAGACAGUUAAGGAACAGCAAGUGAGAAGCAGAGAGAAGCGAAUAGGUGGAAGCCACAGUUGGCAGAAGCCCUAAGGAAGAAGUUCAUUUUCACCGUAUAUUACACCAUGAUGAAGGGAUUUUCAUUUCACAAAGGUUUGAAUAAUGACUAAGGUCUAAGCUCACAUAUCCCCAGGAUGAAGAAUUAAGUUUAAUCCAUAGAGUUGCCCAAACCUUGUGGAAUGUCAUUUCCUGCAUCCCCUUGUUCACAUCCUGGUGGUAGAUUUGUUUUACACAGUGUAACCUAAUACAGUAGGAGGCUGAAACUCAUCAGUAAUCUCUGCUUUUGUGUGGCAAGAAUGGUGCAGUAUGGAGGCACCAAAAAGUAUGGAGGCAGUGCUGGGGAUUCACCUUGGUCUUCAUUUUUAUCUUUCUUGGGAUUUUUUUCCAACCAUAGAAGUUACUUAGACUUAGCACUUGUGCAUAAAUAUCACCCUUAAGCACAGUUGCAAAGAAAGCUCAGUGGGGUGGCUUUAGAAUGAUCCCGUUUGGGAAGCUAAGUGUAAGCAGUGUUGAACAUUUAAGAAAUGAGGAUCAAAUGCAGGUGCCAGUAAACAGUUUGUGCACCUUAUUUGAGUCAAAAGAUCAAAUAAAAGUAUGAUGUUAACUUUUCUGGUUUAUUAUCCAACACUUUGUAGUCAGUUCAGAGAGCAUGCAUAUGUUCUAUACCAAUUUAGGAAUACAUUGUCACUAAAUGUAUGAAAGUAAGUAUCGAUUGUACUGAUACAAUUUUAUAUGGAAGCUCAAUUCUUCACAAAAUAUUUGCAUAUUAUCCAUCUAUAAAUAACCAAAUAUAUAAAG
This 1267-nucleotide long non-coding RNA is filed under the name Homo sapiens (human). Lineage: Eukaryota; Metazoa; Chordata; Mammalia; Primates; Hominidae. The record is from RNAcentral.